This 495-nucleotide ribosomal RNA is filed under the name uncultured bacterium. Its description in RNAcentral is "partial 16S ribosomal RNA". It matches the Rfam family "Bacterial small subunit ribosomal RNA", at positions 28 to 523 of the family's 1533-position model. The record is from RNAcentral.
GAUGAACGCUGGCGGCGUGCUUAACACAUGCAAGUCGAACGAAGCACUUAUCUUUGAUUCUUCGGAUGAAGAGGUUUGUGACUGAGUGGCGGACGGGUGAGUAACGCGUGGGUAACCUGCCUCAUACAGGGGGAUAACAGUUAGAAAUGACUGCUAAUACCGCAUAAGACCACAGAGCCGCAUGGCUCAGUGGGAAAAACUCCGGUGGUAUGAGAUGGACCCGCGUCUGAUUAGGUAGUUGGGGGGGUAACGGCCUACCAAGCCGACGAUCAGUAGCCGACCUGAGUGGGUGACCGGCCACAUUGGGACUGAGACACGGCCCAAACGCCUACGGGAGGCAGCAGUGGGGAAUAUUGCACAAUGGGUGAAACCCUGAUGCAGCGACGCCGCGUGAGCGAAGAAGUAUUUCGGUAUGUAAAGCUCUAUCAGCAGGGAAGAAAAUGACGGUACCUGACUAAGAAGCACCGGCUAAAUACGUGCCAGCCGCCGCAGUAA